This 253-nucleotide ribosomal RNA is filed under the name uncultured bacterium. Its description in RNAcentral is "partial 16S ribosomal RNA". It matches the Rfam family "Bacterial small subunit ribosomal RNA", at positions 524 to 776 of the family's 1533-position model. The record is from RNAcentral.
AACGUAGGAGACGAACGUUAUCCGGAGUUACUGGGCGUAAAGGGCGUGCAGGCGGUCUGAUAAGUUCGGCGUGAAAUAUUCCGGCUUAACCGGGAUAGGUCGUCGGAGACUGUCGGACUAGAGGGUGAUAGAGGCGUGUGGAAUUCCGGGUGUAGUGGUGAAAUGCGUAGAGAUCCGGAGGAACACCAGUGGCGAAGGCGACACGCUGGGUCACACCUGACGCUGAGGCGCGGAGGCAUGGGGAGCGAACGGG